GGGGAAUUGCCUUAGUACGGCGAGUGAAGCGGCAAAAGCUCAAAUUUGAAAUCUGGUACCUUCGGUGCCCGAGUUGUAAUUUGGAGAGGGCAACUUUGGGGCCGUUCCUUGUCUAUGUUCCUUGGAACAGGACGUCAUAGAGGGUGAGAAUCCCGUGUGGCGAGGAGUGCGGUUCUUUGUAAAGUGCCUUCGAAGAGUCGAGUUGUUUGGGAAUGCAGCUCUAAGUGGGUGGUAAAUUCCAUCUAAAGCUAAAUAUUGGCGAGAGACCGAUAGCGAACAAGUACAGUGAUGGAAAGAUGAAAAGAACUUUGAAAAGAGAGUGAAAAAGUACGUGAAAUUGUUGAAAGGGAAGGGCAUUUGAUCAGACAUGGUGUUUUGUGCCCUCUGCUCCUUGUGGGUAGGGGAAUCUCGCAUUUCACUGGGCCAGCAUCAGUUUUGGUGGCAGGAUAAAUCCAUAGGAAUGUAGCUUGCCUCGGUAAGUAUUAUAGCCUGUGGGAAUACUGCCAGCUGGGACUGAGGACUGCGACGUAAGUCAAGGAUGCUGGCAUAAUGGUUAUAUGCCGCCCGUCUUGACU
This 575-nucleotide ribosomal RNA is filed under the name Saccharomyces cerevisiae (brewer's yeast). RNAcentral's name for it is "partial large subunit ribosomal RNA". It matches the Rfam family "Eukaryotic large subunit ribosomal RNA", at positions 69 to 659 of the family's 3401-position model. Lineage: Eukaryota; Fungi; Ascomycota; Saccharomycetes; Saccharomycetales; Saccharomycetaceae. The record is from RNAcentral.